GAGCAGCCGGUGUUAUAACAUGUUAGAAAUAUAAAAAAGAAAAGAAACGGAAAAAAGAAAAAUAAUAGAAAAAUUUAAUUUAUAAUUGUAAUAAAAAAAAACACACAAGAUAAAAAAAAAAUUUAAAUCAUUAAGUGUCUCUAAGUGUACGUGUGCUACGUAUGUGUGUGUGGGUGUUUUAAUAUUAAGCUGUAAAAAAUUUUUAAGAAUUUUCAAAAAAAAAAAAAAUUAAAAGCAUUUGUAUUUUUUGUUAAUGUCUAAUGUUUUUAAAGUUUAUUUAAGAAAAAUAUUUUUCAAAAAGUAAUUAAAUUAAAAACAAAUUGUAUUUAAUAAAUAAAAAAAAAACAAUAAAAAUUUUAUUAGUUUAAAAGUCUUUUGAAAAAAAAUAAAAAAUAUGUUUAUAUUAAUUAUAUUAUGACGUUUGCAUUCACCUUUUUGUCUAAAAUAUUUACAAUAAUAAAACAUAAUUAAAUUUGAAAAAA
Long non-coding RNA from Lucilia cuprina (Australian sheep blowfly), 482 nucleotides. RefSeq lists it as uncharacterized. The transcript has 2 exons. The record is from RefSeq and is a predicted model, not a curated record. NCBI's taxonomy places the organism in Eukaryota, Metazoa, Arthropoda, Insecta, Diptera, Calliphoridae.